UUCGCCCGUCUUCCGUCGGCGGCUCCGCGUUUUUCUGCACGGAUUCUUCCCCUUACGCCCCGUACGACGCCUUCACCGCCCUCCUGCUGCGCCCCGCCGGGCUCCGUUUGGCCGGGCCCCGAAUCCCUCGUCCCCUCCUCCUCCUCGUUGCCCACGUCAACGCCGUCCUUUGGGCUUUGGCCCGGUUCCUCCCUCCUCCGUUCCGCCCCGCUGCCGCCCCGUUGUUGCUGCCCCAAACCGCCGCCGCCGCCGCCACCCCGUUCACGGCCGCCAGCAGCGCCGCCAGGCGACGCUUCGGGUAUCGCCCCCGGGUGGCAUGGAGGACCGCCAGGCGUCGCACCGCCGCUUGGCUGAAGGGGCUGCAGUGAUGGCAGCCACCCCUUGGCACCCAUUGUAAUGCAUAGGCACCCAUUAAAACCCAUUGAAGCCCAUUGGCACCCAUUAUAACCCACUGGCCCCCAUUGGCCCCCAUUGCCCCCCACUGGCACCCAUUGGCCCUCAUUGCCCCCAUUGGCACUCGUAACCCACUGUAACCCGUUGGCACCCAUUGUAACUCAUUGGCACCCAUUGGCACCCAUUGUAAUCCAUCGGCACCCAUUAUAACCCACUGGCCCCCAUUGGCACCCAUUGGCCACCAUUGGCCCCAUUGGCCCCCAUUGCCCCCAUUGGCCCUCAUUGCCCCCUAUUGGCACCCAUUGCCCCCUAUUGGCACCCAUUGCCCCCCAGUGACCCCCAUUGAAAUCCAUUGACACCCAUUGUCUCUCAUUGGCCCCCAUUGGCCCUCAUUGUAACCCAUUGCCCCCCAUUGGCACCCAUUGUAAGCCAUUGGCACCCAUUGCCCCCGUGUGGCCUGGAGGACCGCCAGGCGUCGCACCGCCGCUUGGCUGAAGGGGCUGCAGUGAUGGCAGCCACCCCUUGGCACCCGUUGGCACCUAUUGUGGCCCAUUGGCACCCAUUAAAACCCAUUAAACCCCAUUGGCACCCAUUGUAAUCCAUUGGGACCCAUUAUAAUCCACUGGCCCCCAUUGCCCCCCAUUGGCACCCAUAGGCCCCUAUUGGCACCAAUUGCCCCCCCACUGGCACCCAUUGGCCCUCAUUACCCCCAUUGCCCCCCAUUGGCACCCAUAGAACCCAUUGGCACCCAUUGGCACCCAUUGUAAUCCAUCGGCACCCAUUAUAACCCACUGGCCCCCAUUGGCACCCACUGUAACUCAUUGGCACCCACAGAACCCAUUGGCACCCAUUGGCACCCAUUGGCACCCAUUGUAACCCAUUAGCACCCAUAGAACGCAUAGGCAUCCACUGGCCCUCAUUGCCCCCAUUGGCACCCAUUGGAAAUCAUUGGCACCCAUUGUUUCUCAUUGGCACCCAUUGUAACCCAUUGCCCCCCAUUGCCC
Molecule: long non-coding RNA, 1397 nt
Filed under: Phasianus colchicus (ring-necked pheasant)
Lineage: Eukaryota; Metazoa; Chordata; Aves; Galliformes; Phasianidae
Description: lncRNA (ENSPCLG00000020269.1)
Source: RNAcentral